AAAUUGCACUCCUUUCUUGCCUCCUCCAUGUUAAAUUUUAUUUCUGGAUGUUGAAACACUCGCUAUACCAACGAGGCCUCCCAGAAGACUUUAGGCUCUGAGGAGUCUGGAUCCUGCACACACUCUACAUCUCUUCUUUCAAGCUUUCUGACUUCCCCCCCUUCCACUCAGUUUUAGGAUGUGGUUUGCACUAAUCAUGAACAGGUAGAUCCGCUGUACUGAAGAACUUGAGAACCUAGUACUGAACUCAUGAGGGGUCAGCGUGAUUUCCUGCAAAAUUUUGUCAAAGCAGUGACUUCUGCUACAGUGGAUUCCUAUGUUGCUCUUUUGGUCCUUUGAUCCAGAGCAGUAUCGACUUCAAAAGCUGAAGUUAAAACUAUGUGAGUCUUUUGACUACAGCCAAACGUAGACACCUGCAGACGUGACUGUAUUUAAAGCACUGAGUCCACCUAGCUCAUGUUGAAAUAGAAGGAAAUUGCUGCUGGUUCGUAUCGGCUGAAGCAGCUCUGGUUUUUUACUUUAUGAAGUCUAAUCCCUUAGGUCUGUGUGCUUUGAUGCAAAGGCAAGGUGUUGAAGAACACCUAGAAGACGGUGUUUUAAUAUUAGCUAAAUUUUGGACUCCUCUUAAUGUCUUUUAUCAGAAAAAAAGGGUACACCACACCCCACCACCACGCCAAAAUUGAGCUUGAUCACCUAUCCUAGGAAAGGAGGAGAACUUGGACAGAAGGUGCCAGUAAUUCAGAUGCAAGAGUAGGAGCUAGCUAUGCUGAAAUCACUCAAAAAGCUUUGUGGUUUGUUUUUUUUUUAAAUUCUGAAAAAUCCAACCUGUGCAAAGAUACUGAAAGGAGAUUACAGUAGUAGAAUACUUGACUUGCAUGAAGUUUGUUUCUCCUUUGUACUGUACCAACAGGAACAGUGCUGAAACGGGAUGUUUAAGCACUAUGGAGAUACAAGCAAACAAAAAUAUUCAGUGUUACAAAACAUGAUCUGGAUGAGAAGCCUUGUGAAGGCAGAGGGGAAAGCAUAAUAAUGUGUCAGGUAAAUAAUGUGUUUUUUGUUGGGUAUUUUAAAUUUUUUUUCUUUUUUCAAACCCAUGCAGGUUGGCAGUGGAGGGGGGAAAGCAAAUCAGUUCCCUUUUGUGCCUCCAGCCAUGACCAACCAGCUACAGGCUAUAGCCUUGCAUCUCACUGAACUGGCAAAGGUGAAUGAUGGUGAGCUCUGUGGUUUUCAGAUUUUCAUAGCUACAGAUGGAAAUUUUUACAUGAAAGAAAGGAGGUGAAGGAAGGUCAAGAUUCAGCUCCCCUGGCUGCAUAUGCAGGGUGGGGAAAAUGUAUCCAAAUCCUAACAAAAAUCCACCUAACAGCAAGGUUGUGAAUACCUGUAGCUCUGCUGGUACUUGCUCCCCAACUGCUUAUCACUGUCCUGUCUUCCAUUUUAUCCUUGCAAUUCAAGGUAGAAACCAUGCUGCUUCUGAGAGUCCUUGAUAUGCAUCGCGUAUUUUCAGUUGUUCAUGAAAUAAUAAAAGCUUGACGACGCCUGGUUUGGUUUCACUACAGUUUCUGGUGAGCAAGUACCUUCUUCAGAAAUACAGCCACGCUGUUGUACUUGACCUGCAAGAGGAGGGCAGAGUCUUGAUUUCUACGUAGCAGAUGCAAGAGUUGAAUUGACUGAGAACCCUGACAAGGCUGAAAACAGCACCUUAAAAAAAGGCUGGUUUGGUUUUUUGGUUUGUUUUUGGUUUGUUGGUUGGUUUGGUGUUUGUUUUUGGGGGGGAAGGGAAGGGGUUUGGCUUUUGUUUUGGUUUUUUUGUUUGUUUGUUUUUCAGGGACAAGUAGAGGAUAAGGGUACUACAGUCUCUUUUGGACAAAUCAACUCAGGUCGAUAGGUAGUGAUGGACAUGCUUGGGCUACUUCUGCCUGGCUUAAGCCUGCAGCCCAAUUGAAUAAGGAAGCCAGUGCAGAGAGUGGAAGCUAUCUAGUAAGCUGCAGUGUGUCUGCGUGGGACUCUGCAUUUGCUGUCACAAAGGAGAAGCACCUUUCCGUUCAAAGAGCAUGUCUGCCUGGUAGAUUGGUAUAAGGUCUCAUGUACCUGGUCCUCAGCCACUGCUCAUGUUGGAGUAGACACACCUUGCUUGUGCCAUUCACUGACUGGGCAGUCGUGGCUUUUGCUGUGAAGGUUCUCACUGAUGUGUGUUGUUGUUUUUUUUUUUUGCCCC
Molecule: non-coding RNA, 2215 nt
Organism: Phalacrocorax carbo (great cormorant)
Lineage: Eukaryota; Metazoa; Chordata; Aves; Suliformes; Phalacrocoracidae
Source: RefSeq, a predicted model, not a curated record